Molecule: long non-coding RNA, 1298 nt
Organism: Pan troglodytes (chimpanzee)
Lineage: Eukaryota; Metazoa; Chordata; Mammalia; Primates; Hominidae
Exons: 3
Source: RefSeq, a predicted model, not a curated record
GUCUGUCUUGUGAAGAGGAAAAAAAAAUCCCCAAAGACAAGAAAUGGUGAAGACUGCAUUCCAGAAUGGCGGCACUAAGAAGCUUGGCCUUCCAAGAGAAAGACCCACACUAAUGAGUAUACGUGCUGCUAAAGUGAACACAUCAGAUGGGCAUACUCCUGAUGCAAUACCGUAAACUGCGAAGAACAUCAUGGGACUCUUAGAAAGUGCCACUAGUGCUGAUGGAAGUGCUCCCAAGAAGCAGAGGAAAGUCAUGUCAUUACAAGAAAAAGUUGAAUGGUUUGACACGUACCAUAGAUUGAGGUCUGCAGUGGUGGUUGCUGGCCAUUUCAAGACAAAAGAAUUUAGCUAAGAAUCAUUGUUUUUAAAAAAAGGCAAUGAAAAAUUAUGAAGCUGUCACUCCCAGCUAGAAAACUGCAUUUUUUGCUAAAUGCCUCUUUAUCUUGUAUUGAAAAUGCGCUUUAACGUGGGUCCAGAAUUGCUAUAAGAAACACAUAUCUACAGACUAACAUAAUGCAAGAAAAAGCAAAGUUGUUAGAUAACAAAGCAAAAGGACAAUAAGAGUCUAAAGCAGGAGAAUGUAAUGCCAGCAAAGACUGGUUUGAUCAUUUUAAAAAGAGAUUUGGCUUAAAAAUGUCAAGAUAACAGGAGAUGCACCUGCAGACCAGAAGGCAGAAGAUCAGUUCCCAAAGAAAAUCAUCGAUGAGAAAGGAUAUCUGCCUGAACAUGUUUUUAAUACAGAUGAAAUUUAAUCAUGGGAAAAAUGUGACAAAGAACAUUUAUUAGUAAGGAAGAGAAGCAAGCAUCAGGAUUUAAAGCGGGAAGGGAAGGGACAGGCUGACUCUACUGUUUUGUGCAAAUGCUGUUGGGCUUUCCUUACCUGUAAUGCUGCUAACCCCCAAGGCUUGAUGGAAAAAAAUUAACACCAACAGUCAGUGUUUUGGUUGUACAACAAGAAAACCUGAACAAGAGUUCUUUUACUGGAUUGGUUCCUUGGAUGCAUUGUCUCUGAAGUCAGGAAGUACCUUGCCAGUAGGGUACUGCCUAUUAAAGUUCUUUCGAUUGGACAAUGCCCACAGCCACCCAGAACCCCAUGAGUUCAACACUGAAGGCACUGAAGUGGUCUACCUGCCCCAAAACACAGCAUCUCUAAUCAGCCUCUAGAUUUGGGGUGGGGGUGGGAGGGAAGAGGAGGGGCAUAAAGAUCUUUAAUGCUCAUUACACAUGGUACUCUAUGGAAAGAAUUGCCAACGUUGUAGAAGAGAACCCCAAUAAAGAGAACUUUUGGUUUUGGUUUU